CUUUGAUGCUUGCGGUCCUUGAAGAGUAUCAUCUGUUUUUGGUAACUGCUGACUUGAGAAGGUGGCAGUGUAUGAUUACAUCUGGAAGGACCAUGCCAGCAAGUCUGGUGUCCCCAUCUGUGACCUCCAGCACCAGGAUGGAAUCUUUGACUCGGCAGCUACCUCAAGAGGUACCACUGUUCACAUGUCGGUGUUCACCGUACACCUCAGCGGUUUCCAGCAACUCUACAGACACUUCCUCAGGCUGCCUGAUGGGGCUAUUGUUGAGGCAUUUGGUGAUAUUACUGGAAUAA
This 293-nucleotide long non-coding RNA is filed under the name Anas platyrhynchos (mallard). RNAcentral's name for it is "lncRNA (ENSAPLG00020011990.1)". The record is from RNAcentral. Lineage: Eukaryota; Metazoa; Chordata; Aves; Anseriformes; Anatidae.